ACUCCUGCGGGAGGCAGCAGUGGGGAAUAUUGGACAAUGGGCGCAAGCCUGAUCCAGCCAUGCCGCGUGAGUGAUGAAGGCCCAAGGGUUGUAAAGCUCUUUCACCGGUGAAGAUAAUGACGGUAACCGGAGAAGAAGCCCCGGCUAACUUCGUGCCAGCAGCCGCGGUAAUACGAAGGGGGCUAGCGUUGUUCGGAUUUACUGGGCGUAAAGCGCACGUAGGCGGACUAUUAAGUCAGGGGUGAAAUCCCGGGGCUCAACCCCGGAACUGCCUUUGAUACUGGUAGUCUUGAGUUCGAGAGAGGUGAGUGGAAUUCCGAGUGUAGAGGUGAAAUUCGUAGAUAUUCGGAGGAACACCAGUGGCGAAGGCGGCUCACUGGCUCGAUACUGACGCUGAGGUGCGAAAGCGUGGGGAGCAAACAGGAUUAGAAACCCGUGUAGUCCCAUGA
RNAcentral lists this ribosomal RNA (449 nucleotides) under uncultured organism. RNAcentral's name for it is "partial 16S ribosomal RNA". It matches the Rfam family "Bacterial small subunit ribosomal RNA", at positions 335 to 800 of the family's 1533-position model. The record is from RNAcentral.